RNAcentral lists this RNase P RNA (369 nucleotides) under Sphingomonas abaci. RNAcentral describes it as "RNase P class A". It matches the Rfam family "Bacterial RNase P class A". Rfam says of the family: Ribonuclease P (RNase P) is a ubiquitous endoribonuclease, found in archaea, bacteria and eukarya as well as chloroplasts and mitochondria. Its best characterised activity is the generation of mature 5'-ends of tRNAs by cleaving the 5'-leader elements of precursor-tRNAs. The record is from RNAcentral. Lineage: Bacteria; Pseudomonadati; Pseudomonadota; Alphaproteobacteria; Sphingomonadales; Sphingomonadaceae.
CCAGAGGAUCGGGCGACCGCGGCUCCCCGCAAGGGGGGGCGAGGAAAGUCCGGGCUCCAUGAAACAGCGGUGCCGGGUAACGCCCGGCGGGGGCGACCCCAGGGACAGUGCCACAGAGAGCAGACGGCGACCGCUUCGGCGACGUCAGGGUGAAAGGGUGCGGUAAGAGCGCACCGCGCGACCGGUAACGGAAGCGGCAUGGUAAACCCCACCGGGAGCAAGACCGAAUAGGGACGGCGCAUGGGCGUGUUUCCGCCCGUCGUCCGGGUUGGUUGCUGGAGGCGAUGCGCAAGCAUCGUCCUAGAGGAAUGGUCGCCCAUCCUGCCUCGCGCAGGAGGACAGAACCCGGCUUACAGAUCCUCUGGCUAU